This 429-nucleotide ribosomal RNA is filed under the name Triticum aestivum (bread wheat). RNAcentral describes it as "partial small subunit ribosomal RNA". Lineage: Eukaryota; Viridiplantae; Streptophyta; Magnoliopsida; Poales; Poaceae. The record is from RNAcentral.
AUGACCGUGGUCCUGCACUUGAUCAAGCAAGAAUUCCAAGUUAUCGAUUCACUCUAUCCUCUGGACCUGAUAGAAAAGACUGUGAAAGCACUGCAAAUGGCUAUAGCAAACGAUAUGCGCCAAGCAAAUCUUAUUACACCAGGGAAAUAUCCGGACGAUGAUAUCACUUCUGAGUAUGUUGAAUGGGUUGAUGGGGAGUGGGAUAGCAAAGCAAAGCCAGUCAUUAAGUAUCUUGCCAUGAAGAACAAGAAACUGGAGACUAAGAUUACAGAAUAUGAAGCUGAAAUUAAAAGGAAUGAGAAAGAAAAGAGGGCAAUGGUUAAGAUGCACAAGGAAAUAUUUCUCUAUAGGGAUAGGAUUUUAGGAUUUGGAGGUCUUCUGUAUCUUGGCCUGCUUGCCAUUAUGAUUGCUGUCAUAGUUACCAAGUAG